Molecule: long non-coding RNA, 224 nt
Organism: Sinocyclocheilus grahami
Lineage: Eukaryota; Metazoa; Chordata; Actinopteri; Cypriniformes; Cyprinidae
Exons: 3
Source: RefSeq, a predicted model, not a curated record
AGGCCGCAGUUUCAGGACCGCAGUUCUAGGACCCUAUUCUUUUGUAACAGUGCCACCUACCGAAUUCGAUCACUAAAGAUGGACGACAUGGACAGCAAUCAGAGCCAUCAUAUAUGCCCUGGCUGUCCUACGGAAUUUCUCAUUGCAGGAGGCUGAGCCGGUCUUCCUUUCUGGUCCGGAUUAUCAUUACAGGAGUUGAAGCCUUUCUGUCCAUGCAGCAACUG